AGUCUUGUGACAUGCAGGACAGCUGGUUUGAACCCUGUCAGUCACAAGAGCAAGAUUAAAUACGGAGUGGAACAGCUAUGACAAGGCUCUUCAACUGUAUUCUUAUGGGGACCAAAUUGUUUGUUUUUUUGUGACACUAACAACUAGUCUCUUAAAGUCACUUCAUUAACCACCACCUCUUUCAGGGUUUCCCCGGGCUGAUGGGACAAAAGGGGGAGAGGGGGGGCAGAGGAGACAAGGGUGACAGGGGGAUGCUGGGAAAGAAGGGACUGAAGGGACAGAAGGGCGAGCAAGGCCCUCCUGGACUGGACCAGCCCUGUCCUGUGGGUCGGGAUGGAUUACCCAUACCUGGAUGUUGGCAUAAGUGAUGACUGACCCGGGACCUGGGAUCUGUACAUAUCGAUAUAUAUUUUUCAAAUAAAACUCAAGUGUUGUUUUUUGUUGUUGUUGCCAAUUCUAAUUUAAUAUAUUGAGUUUUUCGUAUUGGAAUUUAGAUUGUGGGUCUAUCACAAUCAAUAUUUUGUACUUUUUGCAUAUGAAAAGAAAACUAGUUUUUUUUUAGUUUAGAGAUGACUUACAAGAAGGAUAUCAUGCACACAAAGAGGAGAGACUGGUGACAAACGGAAAACAGCAGCAAAUGCACUCAACACCUACCGGAUGGACAAAUGUUGCUGCUUUUAUCUAUACGGUGAGAAAUAAAUCAUUGAUUCUGACGAACAGGCUCACUAGUGUUCCCAUAUUGGAGUGUACAACUCCACCUGCACCUUGCAAACAAAUCUACCCCAUCACUCCUGUGAAUGCUGUUUGCUUUGAAAGGACCAGUCCUCACGGCAGGGACCCAAUGCCAGGUACCCAUCCCAACCUUAGGAGAGAGGUAUGGGGAGGCACAGAGGAUGGCCCUCACAGUUGAAUAGGAGCCACACAGACUGACUGCGCUGGACAGAGACAGAUGGCUACACCAGCAUGGAGGAAAUAUGGCUUUCACUCUUCAGCUGCAAUCCUAACUGGUACUGGAGGGACUUGAUUCAAACACCAGAUCCCUCACAACAAAUUACAGACACACACUAGCUUAGAUGAAUGGAUUUAUUUCAAGUCCUUCUAAAUCCCUUAGCAGUGUGUUAUCCAUUACAUGCGGUUGUGUGUUUUUGUCAUAAUGUGUGUAAAAACGAAUCAGAUCUGAAAUGAACACGUGUUUUAAUACCAUGAUGUUUGGAUGGCUUUUUAGAUUUAACCUUUGUAGUCGUUUUCUUAAAUGUCUUUCAUGUUUAGAUCAAUAUUGGUUUCAAAUGUUUUAGAAUGUUUAUAAUGGUUUCAUCAAAUGCUUUCUCAUUCCUCUGAGUGCUCUAACCAAUUAAUUGACACAGAACACUGUAAAACUUUGUAGAUAAAUAUAAUGAGAUAUUCUUGUGUGUAGGUUUUGUGGAAAUUCCUUGGAUCUGUCUUAUAUUCAAGUUACAUACAUUUUCAUUUCAUACAUAGCCCCUGAAAAAGUUAGAGCUAUUCAAACAGUCAGAUUUAGAUUUUCAUGUAAAAUGAAUGAUAGCGAGCCUAAAAAGGG
Molecule: long non-coding RNA, 1558 nt
Organism: Oncorhynchus tshawytscha (Chinook salmon)
Lineage: Eukaryota; Metazoa; Chordata; Actinopteri; Salmoniformes; Salmonidae
Source: Ensembl